Molecule: long non-coding RNA, 361 nt
Organism: Pistacia vera
Lineage: Eukaryota; Viridiplantae; Streptophyta; Magnoliopsida; Sapindales; Anacardiaceae
Exons: 3
Source: RefSeq, a predicted model, not a curated record
CAGGCAUAGAUUGUAUAAGACUCUAGAGAAUUCACAGGUAUAUGCUGUGAUCUCCCCACAAAUCGGAAAAAAAGGUUGUAGCAUUCCUUGCAGUGAUAGAAAUAAUGGCCGAGCAAUUUCCUGGAGCUUUUUCUGGGUAUCCUCUGCAGGUGUUGGAGUCCCAUCAAACAAGCAAAGUGGACACAUCUGGAACUGCCAAGCCUGCUAUUUCAUACUCCACUUGAUGACUUUAAGAAUCAAAGCUGAAUUUUUUCUUCUCCACUCAAUGAAGAAAACGUGUCGGGUGUUUUGGGUGGCUAGGGUUUUUUCAAUUCAACUAAUUAAAACCCUAUUCUACUUAGGAAUAGUCAUGUGUUCCAAU